UAAGGUUCGAUGUGCUCUUUCCACAAUGC
Molecule: non-coding RNA, 29 nt
Filed under: Mus musculus (house mouse)
Lineage: Eukaryota; Metazoa; Chordata; Mammalia; Rodentia; Muridae
Source: RNAcentral